GACGAACGCUGGCGGCGUGCUUAACACAUGCAAGUCGAACGGAAAGGCCCUGCUUUUGUGGGGUGCUCGAGUGGCGAACGGGUGUGUAACACGUGAGUAACCUGCCCUUGACUUUGGGAUAACUUCAGGAAACUGGGGCUAAUACCGGAUAGGAGCUCCUGCUGCAUGGUGGGGGUUGGAAAGUUUCGGCGGUUGGGGAUGGACUCGCGGCUUAUCAGCUUGUUGGUGGGGUAGUGGCUUACCAAGGCUUUGACGGGUAGCCGGCCUGAGAGGGUGACCGGCCACAUUGGGACUGAGGUACGGCCCAGACUCCUACGGGAGGCAGCAGUGGGGAAUAUUGCACAAUGGGCGGAAGCCUGAUGCAGCAACGCCGCGUGCGGGAUGACGGCCUUCGGGUUGUAAACCGCUUUCGCCUGUGACGAAGCGUGAGUGACGGUAAUGGGUAAAGAAGCACCGGCUAACUACGUG
RNAcentral lists this ribosomal RNA (468 nucleotides) under uncultured bacterium. RNAcentral's name for it is "partial 16S ribosomal RNA". It matches the Rfam family "Bacterial small subunit ribosomal RNA", at positions 28 to 507 of the family's 1533-position model. The record is from RNAcentral.